AUCAACAUAAAGCUAUGUGGUCGCAGGGUAUUUUCUCUCUCUUUUGCUUUUGAAAACACUAUUAGUUGGUCCUACUUACUCAUGGACAUGGACGUGUAUCUGAAAUAUGUAACAAAAGAUACCCCAAUUAACAUAUUUCAGAUUCACAAAAAUAAAGACAGCACCCUCUAGUGGAUUUUUCAUCUGAAACUUGCAACAAAACCUACCUGGAGAACGU
Molecule: long non-coding RNA, 217 nt
Filed under: Danio rerio (zebrafish)
Lineage: Eukaryota; Metazoa; Chordata; Actinopteri; Cypriniformes; Danionidae
Description: lncRNA si:ch211-214n22.1 (ENSDARG00000097395.2)
Source: RNAcentral